This 908-nucleotide ribosomal RNA is filed under the name uncultured bacterium. RNAcentral's name for it is "bacterial SSU rRNA". It matches the Rfam family "Bacterial small subunit ribosomal RNA", at positions 28 to 935 of the family's 1533-position model. The record is from RNAcentral.
GAUGAACGCUAACGGCAGGCCUAAUACAUGCAAGUCGAGGGGCAGCGGGAGUAGCAAUACUUGCCGGCGACCGGCGCACGGGUGCGUAACACGUAUACAAUCUGCCCAUAUCAGGGGGAUAGCCCGGAGAAAUCCGGAUUAAUACCCCAUAAUAAUAGGAGAGGCAUCUCUUUUAUUUGAAAGCUCCGGCGGAUAUGGAUGAGUAUGCGUCUGAUUAGCUAGUUGGUACGGUAACGGCGUACCAAGGCGACGAUCAGUAGGGGAUCUGAGAGGACUACCCCCCACACGGAUACUGAGACACGGAUCCGACUCCUACGGGAGGCAGCAGUAAGGAAUAUUGGACAAUGCCCGCAAGGGUGAUCCAGCCAUGCCGCGUGCAGGAAGACGGCCCUAUGGGUUGUAAACUGCUUUUGCACCAGAGAAAACCCCCUUACGUGUAAGGGGCUGAUAGUAUGGUGAGAAUAAGCAUCGGCUAACUUCGUGCCAGCAGCCGCGGUAAGACGAAGGAUGCCAGCGUUAUCCGGAUUCAUGGGGUUUAAAGGGAGCGUAGGCGGUUUAGUAAGUCAGUGGUGAAAGCCGGUCGCUUAACGAUCGAACUGCCAUUGAUACUGCUGAACUUGAGUACAGAUGCUGUGGGCGGAAUAUGACAUGUAGUGGUGAAAUACUUAGAGAUGUCAUAGAACACCGAUUGCGAAGGCAGCUCACAAAACUGUAACUGACGCUGAGGCUCGAAAGUGUGGGGAUCAAACAGGAUUAGAUACCCUGGUAGUCCACACUGUAAACGAUGAUUACUCGCUGUUGGGUAGCAAUACUCAGUGGCUAAGCGAAAGCGAUAAGUAAUCCACCUGGGGAGUACGCCGGCAACGGUGAAACUCAAAGGAAUGGACGGGGGCCCGCACAAGCGGAUG